AUUCUUGUGAUAGUGAAUAAGUCUCAUGAGAUCUGAUGAUCCGAUGGUUUAUCAGGGAUUUCCACUUUUGCAUCUUAAUCAUUUUUCCCUUGCCGCCACCAUGUAAGAAGUGCCUUUUGCCUCCCACCAUGAAUCUGAGGCCUCCCAAGCCAUUUGGAACUGUCUUUUAUUGGGUGCUGGUUCUUAUCUCUGUCAAACUAUCAAAUGCAGAGUGAGUUUUGUCAAACUAUCAAAUGCAGAGUGAGUUGGAGACCUGCCAGAGCACCCAGAGGGUGGAAUGAACAACAGAGAGGGAACAGAAAAGGAGAACACAGAUGGAGACAGAGAUGGGAAGCACAGGCACCACCUACUGGCAAAGACUGUGCACUUGCACAGACGAGAGAGCUGAAAAGUUGGUCAUGGAUGGAAAUAACCGCUGGUUUCACAAAUGAGGAGGUAGAAAAUUCCACUUAAUUUCACCAUUAGAAUGCUCGGCAGAAAAAAAAAAAAACUUGGAUUACUGAGCUACAGAACAACCCAGACUCACUGCACUGGGAUUCCCAGGCCUUUCCUUACGAGUAGAUCACAAUGCUAACAAAGGGGACAAUAUCCAUCAGCCAGGAUCUCGUUGGGUAUGAAUAACCCUCUCUCUUAUAAAAAAAAUAAAUAUGUUC
This is a non-coding RNA of Saimiri boliviensis boliviensis (Bolivian squirrel monkey), 653 nucleotides long. The record is from RefSeq and is a predicted model, not a curated record. Lineage: Eukaryota; Metazoa; Chordata; Mammalia; Primates; Cebidae.